This 477-nucleotide ribosomal RNA is filed under the name uncultured Pseudomonadota bacterium. Its description in RNAcentral is "bacterial SSU rRNA". It matches the Rfam family "Bacterial small subunit ribosomal RNA", at positions 97 to 570 of the family's 1533-position model. Lineage: Bacteria; Pseudomonadati; Pseudomonadota. The record is from RNAcentral.
GGCGGACGGGUGAGUAACGCGUACGAAUCUACCUAGUAGUGGGGGACAACUCGGGGAAACUCGAGCUAAUACCGCAUACGCCCUACGGGGGAAAGCGGGGGACCUUCGGGCCUCGUGCUAUUAGAUGAGCGUGCGUAAGAUUAGCUUGUUGGUGAGGUAAUGGCUCACCAAGGCGACGAUCUUUAGCUGGUCUGAGAGGAUGAUCAGCCACACCGGGACUGAGACACGGCCCGGACUCCUACGGGAGGCAGCAGUGGGGAAUAUUGCGCAAUGGGCGAAAGCCUGACGCAGCCAUGCCGCGUGUGUGAAGAAGGCCUUCGGGUUGUAAAGCACUUUCAAUUGGGAGGAAAGGUUCAAGCUUAAUACGCUUGAGCUGUGACGUUACCUUUAGAAGAAGCACCGGCUAACUCCGUGCCAGCAGCCGCGGUAAUACGGAGGGUGCAAGCGUUAAUCGGAAUUACUGGGCGUAAAGCGCGC